GAAUAAAUAAAAAGAAUAAGAAAAAAUACUGGAAUUCUUCAUUUUUUAAAAAUUUAUCUCAUUGAAAUAAUAAAAAAUGAAGAAUGGGUUUAGUUGGUUAAAUUCAAAAAGUUAAUCAAAUAACUUCGUUACCUAGUUAUUAUCUAAAUAAAGAUAUUUACAAAAAAAAAAAAAGGAAUCGUUUUACUUUUUACUUUCUAUUCAUUUUUAUAUUUCUUUAAAACAAAGAUGAAACAGCUCUCUUGUUCCAUAACUGAUUGAGUGAAUUCCAAUGAAAAUCUAUGUUUAUAAGAAAUUAUCGAAUAGUCCUUAUGACUAUAAAUUACCUAAGUUUUAGAAUGUCUUGUUUAAGAGACUCAGUAUUUUUUGUUUUGAUUAGAAUUCCUUUCCUUUAUGGAAUACAAUACAAUAUCAUUCUGAGCUUAAUUAACUAUUUGAAUUUUCCCUUCUUUUUAUCCCCCCGGGGGAUAGGCUUCCAUACCA
This 483-nucleotide long non-coding RNA is filed under the name Hordeum vulgare. RNAcentral's name for it is "long non-coding RNA (HVUL_LNC021720)". The record is from RNAcentral. Lineage: Eukaryota; Viridiplantae; Streptophyta; Magnoliopsida; Poales; Poaceae.